Molecule: ribosomal RNA, 520 nt
Filed under: Saccharomyces cerevisiae (brewer's yeast)
Lineage: Eukaryota; Fungi; Ascomycota; Saccharomycetes; Saccharomycetales; Saccharomycetaceae
Description: eukaryotic LSU rRNA
Rfam family: Eukaryotic large subunit ribosomal RNA
Source: RNAcentral
CUCAAUUUGAAAUCUGGUACCUUCGGUGCCCGAGUUGUAAUUUGGAGAGGGCAACUUUGGGGCCGUUCCUUGUCUAUGUUCCUUGGAACAGGACGUCAUAGAGGGUGAGAAUCCCGUGUGGCGAGGAGUGCGGUUCUUUGUAAAGUGCCUUCGAAGAGUCGAGUUGUUUGGGAAUGCAGCUCUAAGUGGGUGGUAAAUUCCAUCUAAAGCUAAAUAUUGGCGAGAGACCGAUAGCGAACAAGUACAGUGAUGGAAAGAUGAAAAGAACUUUGAAAAGAGAGUGAAAAAGUACGUGAAAUUGUUGAAAGGGAAGGGCAUUUGAUCAGACAUGGUGUUUUGUGCCCUCUGCUCCUUGUGGGUAGGGGAAUCUCGCAUUUCACUGGGCCAGCAUCAGUUUUGGUGGCAGGAUAAAUCCAUAGGAAUGUAGCUUGCCUCGGUAAGUAUUAUAGCCUGUGGGAAUACUGCCAGCUGGGACUGAGGACUGCGACGUAAGUCAAGGAUGCUGGCAUAAUGGUUAUAU